CUACGUAGGGUGCGAGCGUUGUCCGGAAUUACUGGGCGUAAAGAGCUCGUAGGUGGUUUGUCGCGUCGUCUGUGAAAUUCCGGGGCUUAACUCCGGGCGUGCAGGCGAUACGGGCAUAACUUGAGUACUGUAGGGGAGACUGGAAUUCCUGGUGUAGCGGUGAAAUGCGCAGAUAUCAGGAGGAACACCGGUGGCGACGGCGGGUCUCUGGGCAGUAACUGACGCUGAGGAGCGAAAGCAUGGGUAGCGAAAAGGAUUAGAUACCCUGGUAGUCCAUGCCGUAAACGGUGGGCGCUAGGUGUAGGGGUCUUCCACGACUUCUGUGCCGUAGCUAACGCAUUAAGCGCCCCGCCUGGGGAGUACGGCCGCAAGGCUAAAACUCAAAUGAAUUGACGGGG
RNAcentral lists this ribosomal RNA (398 nucleotides) under uncultured bacterium. RNAcentral describes it as "partial 16S ribosomal RNA". It matches the Rfam family "Bacterial small subunit ribosomal RNA", at positions 523 to 918 of the family's 1533-position model. The record is from RNAcentral.